UACGAAGGGGGCUAGCGUUGCUCGGAAUCACUGGGCGUAAAGGGUGCGUAGGCGGGUCUUUAAGUCAGGGGUGAAAUCCUGGAGCUCAACUCCAGAACUGCCCUUGAUACUGAGGAUCUUGAGCUCGGGAGAGGUGAGUGGAACUGCGAGUGUAGAGGUGAAAUUCGUAGAUAUUCGCAAGAACACCAGUGGCGAAGGCGGCUCACUGGCCCGGUACUGACGCUGAGGCACGAAAGCGUGGGGAGCAAACAGG
RNAcentral lists this ribosomal RNA (253 nucleotides) under uncultured bacterium. RNAcentral describes it as "partial 16S ribosomal RNA". It matches the Rfam family "Bacterial small subunit ribosomal RNA", at positions 524 to 776 of the family's 1533-position model. The record is from RNAcentral.